This 466-nucleotide ribosomal RNA is filed under the name uncultured bacterium. RNAcentral's name for it is "partial 16S ribosomal RNA". It matches the Rfam family "Bacterial small subunit ribosomal RNA", at positions 28 to 507 of the family's 1533-position model. The record is from RNAcentral.
GACGAACGCUGGCGGCGCGCCUAACACAUGCAAGUCGAACGAGCGAGAGAGAGCUUGCUUUCUCGAGCGAGUGGCGAACGGGUGAGUAACGCGUGAGGAACCUGCCUCAAAGAGGGGGACAACAGUUGGAAACGACUGCUAAUACCGCAUAAGCCCACGGCUCGGCCUCGAGCGGGGGGAAAAGGAGCAAUCCGCUUUGAGAUGGCCUCGCUUCCGAUUAGCUGGUUGGUGGGGUAACGGCCCACCAAGGCGACGAUCGGUAGACGGAAUGAGAGGUUGAACCGCCACAUCGGGACUGAGACACGGCCCAGACUACUACGGGAGGGAGCAGUGGGGAAUAUUGCACAAUGGGGGAAAUCCUGAUGCAGCGACGCCGCGUGGAGGAAGAAGGUCUUCGGAUUGUAAACUCCUGUUGUUGGGGAAGAUAAUGACGGUACCCAACAAGGAAGUGACGGCUAACUACGUG